RNAcentral lists this ribosomal RNA (253 nucleotides) under uncultured bacterium. RNAcentral describes it as "partial 16S ribosomal RNA". It matches the Rfam family "Bacterial small subunit ribosomal RNA", at positions 524 to 776 of the family's 1533-position model. The record is from RNAcentral.
UACGUAGGGGGCAAGCGUUGUCCGGAAUCAUUGGGCGUAAAGAGCGUGUAGGCGGUUCGGUAAGUCGGCUGUGAAAGUCCAGGGCUCAACCCUGGGAUGCCGGUCGAUACUGCCGGACUAGAGUUCGGAAGAGGCGAGUGGAAUUCCCGGUGUAGCGGUGAAAUGCGCAGACAUCGGGAGGAACACCUAUGGCGAAGGCAGCUCGCUGGGACGUUACUGACGCUGAGACGCGAAAGCGUGGGGAGCAAACAGG